Molecule: ribosomal RNA, 19 nt
Filed under: Anthorrhiza sp. 'clemensii'
Lineage: Eukaryota; Viridiplantae; Streptophyta; Magnoliopsida; Gentianales; Rubiaceae
Description: partial 18S rRNA
Source: RNAcentral
AACAGGGGAAGGAUUAUUG